CAGAAGUCUUACUGACACAUUGACGUCACUGGAAAACAACAUAGGAAACACUGUUGUGCUUUUGGAGAAUGCCAAAACAAUGUUGAAGGAUUUGGAGACAGCAACAGAAGUACUAUCAAAGGAAAAUAAGAUCAAAUACCUGCAAAACAUAUAUGGUCAUCUUCAAACGAAUGCUAUAAUGAAUCAAGUCCAGACUGAUGAAAUUAUGAACAGCACUACGGCCAUGCUUUUGUACUCACAAGAGUGUGAACCUGACAACAUGGAUGAUCUUGAGGAACUCAUCACUCUUGCCGGCUACAUUUACGGAAAGGCUCUGACUGAUAACGGUAACAUUGUCAAGGAGCUUCCAACAGGCACUAUUUAUGUCACAAGGUCAUUAUU
RNAcentral lists this long non-coding RNA (381 nucleotides) under Sinocyclocheilus grahami. Its description in RNAcentral is "lncRNA (ENSSGRG00000018492.1)". The record is from RNAcentral. Lineage: Eukaryota; Metazoa; Chordata; Actinopteri; Cypriniformes; Cyprinidae.